This 2919-nucleotide ribosomal RNA is filed under the name Bacillus thuringiensis. RNAcentral describes it as "23S ribosomal RNA". It matches the Rfam family "Bacterial large subunit ribosomal RNA". The record is from RNAcentral. Lineage: Bacteria; Bacillati; Bacillota; Bacilli; Caryophanales; Bacillaceae.
UUUGGUUAAGUUAGAAAGGGCGCACGGUGGAUGCCUUGACACUAGGAGUCGAUGAAGGACGGGACUAACGCCGAUAUGCUUCGGGGAGCUGUAAGUAAGCUUUGAUCCGAAGAUUUCCGAAUGGGGAAACCCACCAUACGUAAUGGUAUGGUAUCCUUAUCUGAAUACAUAGGGUAAGGAAGACAGACCCAGGGAACUGAAACAUCUAAGUACCUGGAGGAAGAGAAAGCAAAUGCGAUUUCCUGAGUAGCGGCGAGCGAAACGGAACAUAGCCCAAACCAAGAGGCUUGCCUCUUGGGGUUGUAGGACAUUCUAUACGGAGUUACAAAGGAACGAGGUAGACGAAGCGACCUGGAAAGGUCCGUCGUAGAGGGUAACAACCCCGUAGUCGAAACUUCGUUCUCUCUUGAAUGUAUCCUGAGUACGGCGGAACACGUGAAAUUCCGUCGGAAUCUGGGAGGACCAUCUCCCAAGGCUAAAUACUCCUAGUGAUCGAUAGUGAACCAGUACCGUGAGGGAAAGGUGAAAAGCACCCCGGAAGGGGAGUGAAAGAGAUCCUGAAACCGUGUGCCUACAAAUAGUCAGAGCCCGUUAACGGGUGAUGGCGUGCCUUUUGUAGAAUGAACCGGCGAGUUACGAUCCCGUGCGAGGUUAAGCUGAAGAGGCGGAGCCGCAGCGAAAGCGAGUCUGAAUAGGGCGUUUAGUACGUGGUCGUAGACCCGAAACCAGGUGAUCUACCCAUGUCCAGGGUGAAGUUCAGGUAACACUGAAUGGAGGCCCGAACCCACGCACGUUGAAAAGUGCGGGGAUGAGGUGUGGGUAGCGGAGAAAUUCCAAUCGAACCUGGAGAUAGCUGGUUCUCCCCGAAAUAGCUUUAGGGCUAGCCUUAAGUGUAAGAGUCUUGGAGGUAGAGCACUGAUUGGACUAGGGGUCCUCAUCGGAUUACCGAAUUCAGUCAAACUCCGAAUGCCAAUGACUUAUCCUUAGGAGUCAGACUGCGAGUGAUAAGAUCCGUAGUCAAAGGGAAACAGCCCAGACCGCCAGCUAAGGUCCCAAAGUGUGUAUUAAGUGGAAAAGGAUGUGGAGUUGCUUAGACAACUAGGAUGUUGGCUUAGAAGCAGCCACCAUUUAAAGAGUGCGUAAUAGCUCACUAGUCGAGUGACUCUGCGCCGAAAAUGUACCGGGGCUAAAUACACCACCGAAGCUGCGGAUUGAUACCAAUGGUAUCAGUGGUAGGGGAGCGUUCUAAGGACAGUGAAGUCAGACCGGAAGGACUGGUGGAGUGCUUAGAAGUGAGAAUGCCGGUAUGAGUAGCGAAAGACGGGUGAGAAUCCCGUCCACCGAAUGCCUAAGGUUUCCUGAGGAAGGCUCGUCCGCUCAGGGUUAGUCAGGACCUAAGCCGAGGCCGACAGGCGUAGGCGAUGGACAACAGGUUGAUAUUCCUGUACCACCUCUUUAUCGUUUGAGCAAUGGAGGGACGCAGAAGGAUAGAAGAAGCGUGCGAUUGGUUGUGCACGUCCAAGCAGUUAGGCUGAUAAGUAGGCAAAUCCGCUUAUCGUAAAGGCUGAGCUGUGAUGGGGAAGCUCCUUAUGGAGCGAAGUCUUUGAUUCCCCGCGCCAAGAAAAGCUUCUAGCGAGAUAAAGGUGCCUGUACCGCAAACCGACACAGGUAGGCGAGGAGAGAAUCUAAGGUGUGCGAGAGAACUCUGGUUAAGGAACUCGGCAAAAUGACCCCGUAACUUCGGGAGAAGGGUGCUUUCUUAACGGAAAGCCGCAGUGAAUAGGCCCAAGCGACUGUUUAGCAAAAACACAGCUCUCUGCGAAGCCGUAAGGCGAAGUAUAGGGGGUGACACCUGCCCGGUGCUGGAAGGUUAAGGAGAGGGGUUAGCGUAAGCGAAGCUCUGAACUGAAGCCCCAGUAAACGGCGUAACUAUAACGGUCCUAAGGUAGCGAAAUUCCUUGUCGGGUAAGUUCCGACCCGCACGAAAGGUGUAACGAUUUGGGCACUGUCUCAACCAGAGACUCGGUGAAAUUAUAGUACCUGUGAAGAUGCAGGUUACCCGCGACAGGACGGAAAGACCCCGUGGAGCUUUACUGUAGCCUGAUAUUGAAUUUUGGUACAGUUUGUACAGGAUAGGCGGGAGCCAUUGAAACCGGAGCGCUAGCUUCGGUGGAGGCGCUGGUGGGAUACCGCCCUGACUGUAUUGAAAUUCUAACCUACGGGUCUUAUCGACCCGGGAGACAGUGUCAGGUGGGCAGUUUGACUGGGGCGGUCGCCUCCUAAAGUGUAACGGAGGCGCCCAAAGGUUCCCUCAGAAUGGUUGGAAAUCAUUCGUAGAGUGCAAAGGCAUAAGGGAGCUUGACUGCGAGACCUACAAGUCGAGCAGGGACGAAAGUCGGGCUUAGUGAUCCGGUGGUUCCGCAUGGAAGGGCCAUCGCUCAACGGAUAAAAGCUACCCCGGGGAUAACAGGCUUAUCUCCCCCAAGAGUCCACAUCGACGGGGAGGUUUGGCACCUCGAUGUCGGCUCAUCGCAUCCUGGGGCUGUAGUCGGUCCCAAGGGUUGGGCUGUUCGCCCAUUAAAGCGGUACGCGAGCUGGGUUCAGAACGUCGUGAGACAGUUCGGUCCCUAUCCGUCGUGGGCGUAGGAAAUUUGAGAGGAGCUGUCCUUAGUACGAGAGGACCGGGAUGGACGCACCGCUGGUGUACCAGUUGUUCUGCCAAGGGCAUAGCUGGGUAGCUAUGUGCGGAAGGGAUAAGUGCUGAAAGCAUCUAAGCAUGAAGCCCCCCUCAAGAUGAGAUUUCCCAUAGCGUAAGCUAGUAAGAUCCCUGAAAGAUGAUCAGGUUGAUAGGUUCGAGGUGGAAGCAUGGUGACAUGUGGAGCUGACGAAUACUAAUAGAUCGAGGACUUAACCAUAUAA